GGUGCUGACGAGUGGCGAACGGGUGAGUAAUGUAUCGGAACGUGCCCAGUCGUGGGGGAUAACGCAGCGAAAGCUGCGCUAAUACCGCAUACGAUCUAUGGAUGAAAGCGGGGGACCGUAAGGCCUCGCGCGAUUGGAGCGGCCGAUAUCAGAUUAGGUAGUUGGUGGGGUAAAGGCUCACCAAGCCAACGAUCUGUAGCUGGUCUGAGAGGACGACCAGCCACACUGGGACUGAGACACGGCCCAGACUCCUACGGGAGGCAGCAGUGGGGAAUUUUGGACAAUGGGCGCAAGCCUGAUCCAGCAAUGCCGCGUGCAGGAAGAAGGCCUUCGGGUUGUAAACUGCUUUUGUACGGAACGAAACGGUCCUGGUUAAUACCUGGGGCUAAUGACGGUACCGUAAGAAUAAGCACCGGCUAACUACGUGCCAGCAGCCGCGGUAAUACGUAGGGUGCAAGCGUUAAUCGGAAUUACUGGGCGUAAAGCGUGCGCAGGCGGUUUUGUAAGACAGGCGUGAAAUCCCCGGGCUUAACCUGGGAAUGGCGUUUGUGACUGCAAAGCUGGAGUGCGGCAGAGGGGGGAUGGAAUUCCGCGUGUAGCAGUGAAAUGCGUAG
RNAcentral lists this ribosomal RNA (614 nucleotides) under bacterium. Its description in RNAcentral is "bacterial SSU rRNA". It matches the Rfam family "Bacterial small subunit ribosomal RNA", at positions 84 to 693 of the family's 1533-position model. The record is from RNAcentral.